Melospiza melodia melodia is the source of this 2130-nucleotide long non-coding RNA. RefSeq lists it as uncharacterized. The record is from RefSeq and is a predicted model, not a curated record. The transcript has 5 exons. NCBI's taxonomy places the organism in Eukaryota, Metazoa, Chordata, Aves, Passeriformes, Passerellidae.
AAUUUCGCUGCACCAUUUUGUGGAGAUUUGGGUUCUAUUUCUGUGUUGAAGCUGACAUCUCUAAGCAAGAUUCAAGAUGAUAAAGACAAGGCACCCGCAAAGUCUGUACCAGACCACUGAGAGAUAAAAGGAGAAGGAAGGCUGAAGACAAAGAACUCCCAUAUGCAAUGCUUGCUAUGUAAGUGAUCACCCUGUAUUCACGCAUGUAAAUGGAAUUCAUACAUGCAGCUUACGCAUGUCAGAGGAGCUAGCCAUUGGUCAGUUUGGACAGAGGAGAAAUCUGGGCUGCUUCGAAAGAUAGCCACUGAGAGGCAACACUGUGAUGAUAUUGAUCACAGGAUUGGUUGUGCUCAUGCAGAAUUUUCCAAACAUUGACUGCAGUUAACAGCACUUCAAGCAGAUCAUAUCCAUAAAUGGAAAAGAGGACGAGGAUUCUGAGAAUAACAAAUUCAACCUCACAGCUCAUAUCAGUGCCCUCUGACUGAGGACCUAACAGCAGUGGUAAGAAGGCUUGCUAGCAGUGAGCUCAGGCUUAACAACCAGUGGAAAUACACCUGACAUUCAAUACAUCUUCCUGCAACAUGAUGGACCUGUAUUAUAUGCAGCAUUCCAGAUCCAGUUUCUACAAAAGUCAGUGGCAAAAUUCUGACUCCACAAGGCAUCAUAUUCAGUGUAUAACUUCAGAGCAGUUUCCUCCGUGGGAUACAACAGUGCAUUCUGGCCUUGCUUUAGUCCUGGCUAGAUGGUUCUACAAGGAAGGAAGAGGAAUGUGACAUAUGCAGAUACACUGCCUGUCCUCUGUGCCAAUCUCUGGCUGUCCCUACCAAGAGACACUAUACAACAGGAUGCAUUUGCUUUUGUUCCCUCUGCAGAGCUGCUGGACACAGGCAGAAAAUGGAGCAGCUGAAGCACUUGCAUCAUUUUCCAUUUAUGCUGUCAUGCAUUUGUUUUGCCUGUCUUGUUUAAUGUGAAGGAUAAUACUUUCUUACUGGAAAAAUCCAUCAGCAGCAUAAUGACCUGGAAUUAGCAGACGAAGUGGGAGCAAACCAAAGAAGCUGCGAGCACAUUUGGAAGCAUUUAACUUUUCAGGGUCAGAAUGCAACUAAUGGUUGAGGCAGCAAGGGAUCUCUGUUCCUGCUUGUGUUCAUGUGUGGCGAAGACAUUUCGGCUCAGUGUGAACAUCACGAGGCUCAGACUUAAAAAAGCUGCUUCUCUCUUCUCUUCUGCCAUUGAUCUUGGAGCAUGGUCUUGUGUAACUACUUUCAUGCUUGAGUGGUGGGGAUUUUUUCCUUUCUCUUCUCUUAGCCUUUAUCUCUCUUUCCAUUUGAACUGUAAGGCUUAGGAGAAGGAGUGUCUCAUGACAGGUGUAGUUAUACUGCUCAAUGAAACUCUCUUAUUAGCUAGGACCUAUGGAGCUGUAAUAUCAAUAAUUAAUAGUCAAGAACAGUGCCUGGUUACUGAUUCAUUAAAACUAAAAUUUAUCUUAAUUUAAACUGGAUCCUCAAAUCCCUGUAGACAGGCCAUACAAACCUGCUUAACAGCCCUACCAGCCAUUUGACUAGUUCAUAUUAUCAUUGGAUUUAAUCUUUCCAGAACUAAAUGACCUCGUGCACAUCAGCAAAGGAAAUAGAUUGACAUCAGCAAAAUCUAGGGCAGCGUGAGCUGUACUUGGGCUGGUAGAACAUCGUCUGAGGAAUUCUUAAUUCCUAUAGCAGGUUGUAAUGUGGUAUAAAUCAAAUGAAAUUGUCACAGGACAUGGAAGCAACUCUCAUCUUUGUACUUUGAAGGGAUAAACUUUUCCUUUUUACUUAGGCAGCCUAAAUAUAUAGUGAUAGCGCUUCUUUUUGUCGAAACCUCUUAGGAGUAAAUCCAACAGCUAGGAAACCCUGAAACAGAGAAAGAAUGAGGAUGUCUGAUUCAGGCCACCUGACUGAUCUGCCAGAUCUUCACCUGGGAAAAACGAAUUUAAUUUUUUGUCAAUUAAAAUAGAUAUUGAGAAACCUCUCCCCUCUUUCUUUUCUCGAGUUCCCAUCGCGCAGGGCUGUUUCUCGCUCGCUUCCCCUGGCUCAGCCCCGGCUGCCGGGCAGCGUUUUGCCCUCCCUUGCCCAGGCUUUCCCCGGGGCUCAGGGG